GAAAACUUACCAGGUCAAGACAUGGGCGUGAUUGACAGGCUAAUGACUUUUCUCGAUUCCAUGGAUGGUGGUGCAUGGUCGCACUUAGUUGGUGCAGUGAUUUGUCAGGUUUAUUCCGGUAACGAACGAGACCUCGGCCUUGUAAAUAGCUAUGCUGCUUACAGGGACAUUGGCGGCUACGCCAAGGAAGCUCGAGGCAAUUGCAGAUCUGGAAUGCCCUUAGAUGUCCUGGGUCGCACGCGUGCUACAAUGACGCCACGAACGAGCUUGCGUGAUGAAAGUUACGCAUAAUCAGCAGUCGGCGUCCUAAGGGAUAGUCUCUUGUAACUGUGAGACUCCAACUAGGAAUGUCUCGUAAGCACAAGUCAACAUCUUGUGUUGAUUACGUCCCUGCUCUUUGUACACACCGCCCGUCGCUCCUACCGAUCGAGUGUUUAGGUGAAUUUGAUGGACGUAAGGAAGUCAAAUAAACCUGAGCACUAGAGAAGAGAGUCGACAUC
RNAcentral lists this ribosomal RNA (500 nucleotides) under uncultured Myrionecta. RNAcentral's name for it is "bacterial SSU rRNA". It matches the Rfam family "Eukaryotic small subunit ribosomal RNA", at positions 1209 to 1793 of the family's 1831-position model. Lineage: Eukaryota; Ciliophora; Litostomatea; Cyclotrichida; Mesodiniidae. The record is from RNAcentral.